This 7288-nucleotide unclassified non-coding RNA is filed under the name Leishmania donovani. RNAcentral's name for it is "gene:LdHU3.36.2140(CDS-product:hypothetical_prote in_conserved)". Lineage: Eukaryota; Euglenozoa; Kinetoplastea; Trypanosomatida; Trypanosomatidae. The record is from RNAcentral.
GGUUUUCAUCACGAAGGAGGGCAGAAGGAAAAACGGAAACAAAAAGGGCGACACGGCCGCUCUUCUGUGUGUCGUGUCGCAUUGAGCGCUUACGACGAUUAACUCCUCUCUCGCUCUCCGGACGUGUGCACAUACCUCCUCCCCCGACACGCACUCACACACACGCGUACCAUUCCUCACUCAAUUCGUGAUCCUGCCUUCGACUCUCGCCUCGGCAGCGCAUUGCCUUUGAUGAGUGCAUACCCCCUCUCUGCGAACGUUCUUGUGUCAACAAGUUUGCAUCUCUUUACGCAGGGCCUUGUUAUUACUGUAUUUUCGUGGCUAUCUGUGCCUUCCUUUUCUUGUUUCCUAGACCUCGAUUGUACUUCGAGCACGUUCUGUUGUGUGCUUUCGAUCCGGCGCAUGUAUGCGUGGCGAUCCACCAGCUAACGAGCGUCUCUCUUCUUCGUUCUCUCCCGUCUUCUCCGUGCCCAUUUUUGUUCCAGGAAGGGGGUGGAGGAGCGCUUUUUUACCCUUGUUGUUGGCUGUCUUCUAUUUUCACCGCAUUCCACGCCCUCCUCUUUCUCUCUGGUGCGCUCUCUAUCUCUGCCUGUGUCUGCUCAUUAUCAAGUGUGUGUGUGGGGAGAUAUAUGGGUAUAUGUUUAUAGUUUUUCCUCUCGUGUGUGUUUUCUCGCCUAGACUAUCGCCGUUACAUUUUGUAUUUUUUUUUUCGUUCAAGGCUGCGUUGUUGGUGUGCGUUCUCUCUCCUUCUGUGCCUGUGCCUGUGUGUCCCUUCCCUUCUUCGCUCCUCCACCUGAGUUGGAGCUUCGGUACAGCCCGAGCUCUUUUCUCCCUCUUUCUCCGUGUGUGGAUUUCUCCCCCUGCCCCCGGUUUUGUUGCGACACGGUCGCGCGUUGCGUUUUGCAACUGCAGCGACAUUUGUUUUUUGUUUUCUCUCUCAGCUUUCUCGUUCAAAGGCGGUGUUUUCUCCUUUUCGUGCGGCGUGCGUUCUACUCUAGUGUGGGCUGCGCUGCUUGCCCCCGCGUCCCUUGCAGCGCUUCCAUCCUCUCGCGCAUUUGCUGCACUUCGGUUGUCUUGUGCACACCCUCGUAUAGAUUGGGUCUUCACUCAGAUAUGGCCGGAUAUGUUUUGCAAACGCCGUUCCCGGCGACUCGUCUGGCACCGCCUUCAUCGCCGCUCGGGGCAUCUGCUGCUCAUCACAGUAUUUUGCUGCGGCGACAAGCGCUGCGGCCCGUUUCAGCAGAGGAGGAUGCUCGUCUUUUCGACGAUUUGCCGAUGCCGUGCUUCAGCGCUUCUCAGCACCGCACCGUGUCACCAACGAAGCAUGAUGCACGCAAGGCGGGACUGGAGGUCUCACGCGCGGUCUUCACGGAUGCAAGUCUGCAGAUGAGCCCAGGGACGGCCAUCAACAACAGCGUACGCGUCUCGUCCCUGCGCUCGGGCUCGGCUGGGCUCGGGGAGUCGCUCCACGUGCCUCCGUUGUCUGCGUUUGAUCACCCGGACGCGUGGCUGCGCGAGUACGCGUUUCUUCGGGCAAAGCUUAAGCGCCCGGCGGACUCGGUGACUGUGUAUCAUGACUACGCAGCCCCCCUCAACUCGCGAGCGACAAUGCGCCAUGCCUGCGUGGUGCACCCGCUCCCCGACCUGGAGAAGGUUCAGGAGGCGCUCCGUCGCCGUUUCCAGGCGCACGCGCCAGCGACCUCGUACGACGUGUGCGAGCAGCAAUGCGCUGCUGACAGCUGUGCUCCCACGGAGUGGGACGACGAUGCGGUGUCCAUGGCGGCGACCCCGGAGACAGCUGACGCGGUGCGUGGCGCGCAUCGGGAGCAGCGCAACGACAUGUUUUUGCCACCGGCAACCUUGUGGUGCGUCGGUGGCUCGAGCUACGAGAACGAGAUUGUCGUCCGCAACACCGUGACGGGCCAACGCCUACUCCGGAUUCUUGAUCCCAAAAUGAGGGUUGCUGUCACGGCCCUGCAACACGCGCCGUUUCGCGGAUUCAUGAAGACGCACCAGCUGCACGUCCUCCCUGUGAGAGAGCCCCACGAUGUGUUGCGACUAAAGGCGUCACAGCUUGUAUUCACAGACUACAUGUGGUGCGGCUUGCAGGAUGGCAGUGUGCGACUGGUGCCUGCAAAUCACCACCACAUCCGCGCCUGCGGGGCCUCGUCGCUGUUUUCCAAAGCCCCCUCCGCCGCCCUCGUAUACGAACUGCCGCGCUACCAGGGCGGCGCCAUUGUAUCGAUUGUUUGCAGCCCCUGCCAUGACGCCGCGUGCGCCUUCGGCGACUCUCCAAAGUGGGGGCUGCCGAACCGGCUGAGCAACGCGAUCCAGUGCAUGACGGCGGUCCUCAGCGCCGGUGCCGAUAGUGCCGCAGCUGCCGGGCAAGCUGACGGUGAGCCUGUGGAUCCGGCCUCGCGUCAGCACCUCUCGCUGGUCUGCAUUGCUGCGACGGAUGCCAGCGUCGUUAUCUGGGACGUUCGGCAGGUCUACGAGGCAGUGGCAACAGCUCAGCAGCAGCGGCAGGAGCAAAACGAGGGAACCCACAUCAGCGGCGCAUCGGUGUUCCGUCACGGCGCUGCAGGGCCGCUGACUGUCGGCGGUACCGCUACUUCUGGGACGCCCUUUUGCUUCGAUGCAUCUGCUUCGCUGUCCGGCGCGACGGGAGUGUCCAGCGACGUCAUUACGUUCGACUGCUCCUCUCCUGUGCCCGGGCUGCAGAAUAUGCAGGUCCGGUCGAGCUGCACUCUAAUACAGGUGAAGCCGCUGGCGAGGCUGAGCGGCGGCUUUGCUGGCCUCACGGCUCUCCGGUGGGUAUCCUCGCUCGUCGUGGCAGGCGGCUGCGACGCAGCUGCGAGUCGCCAUGCACGGAUGGCGGCGCGAGACCCAUGCACGGUGCCGUGCAGGGGGGAGGAAACGCCGCGCAUCGAGCUUACCCAGACGAAGACGCGCUUUGACAAGCGCGAGGAGCAGCGCGGCGAGCUCGAGUUGACGGAGGAGGAGAUGCAGGGGGUGGAGCGGGAGCUGGAGCACAUGAUGCCGCCGCUGGCUGCCGAGCCGGCGCAGUCGCUGCGCGUGAAUCUGCUGGUGGCGUCGGACUGCAUGGGCACCGUACACCUGUGGAACCUCGACGAGGAGCUGCAUCGGUGCAGCGAGGUGAAGGAGAGCGCGCUUGGGUGGCCAGCCAGCUCAGGUGCUUUUUACUACUCCAGUUUGCGGUCGAUGUCAUCUCGCAGUGACGGGCGCUCGGCCGCGAGCCACGGAAGCGGUGCGUCGCAACCCACAUCAGGGAUAUCCAACGCGAGCGCACGGCGCACCUCAGCGUCCAAGGGCCAUGGCGGGACUCGCAGGUCGGACCGCGUUCCCAAGAGCCGCCGUGCGUGCAGAGGUCUUGGCCUAGCGGAGGCGCGCGAGAAUCGUGCCCGCCUUUCCGAACUGCCCUCCAACAGGCCCACCUUGGGGCAUAAGUCUGACGGCGAGGCCGCUACCAUACACAAGAACCUGCAGCGACCCUCGAUCGGCCGCAGCAGCACCGAGGAGCACGAUUCGUCACAGUCGGCGCAGGGUCGGUCGCCUCAGCUCACUGCGGAGCGGGAAGGCGGGCGGCUGAGCGACGGCCACGGCACCUUGCCUGCCCUACCCGCCUCACACAAGUCUCUCGUGGCUCCCUCGGCAACGGUCCAGCAACACCCACCGCUGCACAACGCACUGCCGCCUAACCAUCCAUCAUCGGCGAAGAACGCCGUUCCCGUGUCCGGCCCUGUAAAGGCAAAGAAGUUGAAGAAGAGCCGUAACCCUGUCCACGAGACGUCUGCUUCUAUGUUCCGCUCUUCUCUGCAGAGCACCUCGCCGUCGCGCGGCUCUGCUCAUCGGCCGAGUACUUCUCCAUGCCGCCUUUCGGAGUCACGUCACCCCGCGCAGCCGCAAACCGGCAUGCAUUCCCGCGCCAGUGUGCAACGCGGCGCCUCUAUCACGGCGAGGAAUGCGUGCGGCACUGGCAGCGCCGGGCAGGACUUGCUGAUGCCUACGCAGGCAGCCAAGUGCCAGAUUCGAUUUGGGCAGGGGGCGGCAGCGGCCAUCGCCGACGUGGCGGUCGACCUGCCGCCGUGCAUCCGCACAACAUUGCGCCGCAUCCCAAAGCCGUCCAACCGAGUUGCGUCGUGGCAGCAUCGUCCCACAGAAGAGGAGGUGGACUCGCGGAUUCUGGAGAAUGAGUUUGAGGAGCUGACCGAAGAAAAGGCGCUCUUUUUCGCCUUCCAGCGGCUCGAGAUGUACGUCGCUGUUGACGGUGCCAUGUCGACGGUGCGCUGUGUCCCGCAGUGGCUACUGCCAGACGAGGACGAGCAAGAGCUGUUUCGGCAGCGGAACAGCGACGACUGGAGGGAAGCGGGUGGGGAUCUGACUACGCAGGAGACGACAGGGGCGGCGGUACGAGGGUGGAUGGCGGAGGCGGCGAUGCCGGACCGUGUGAGCAUGGGCGCCUUCGACCUGCACCUUCGCAAGCGCCUUCUCGACGUGCACGCACAGCCCAUCACACAACUGUUUUUGGACCCGUGGCAAGGUCUGUUGUGGGUGGCGCGUGAGGACGGAUUCGCGUCGAUUUUCGCAACGCGCGACAAGAGCGUCGUCUCUCGUAUGCCUCACCCCUCCGCGGACGCUCUUCUUGCCCCACCUUCAGCGCAGGAGUGGGUGAAGCUUCAGGAGCAGGCGUUGACGCGCAGCCACCCCAACGACGCGCGGGCGGCAAACGGCUUUGGGCUCGAGUGCCACAAGGAGUGCCGUGAUCUCCCUCCGACCCACCUCACACAAGUCCUCCCAAUCGCGGUUCGACGGCAGCGCGCACUGCUGCUGGGCUGUAGCGCUGCCGGCGGCUGUCAUGACAGGAGAUCGGAUUGUCUGGCCGCGGCGACUGUCACAGAGUCACCAGGCCGAUCGUGCCAGCGCACACUGGCGCUUGCAGAGUCAGUAGCGGCCCGUGAUCCUCCCAAGUCAUCGGCACUAAAACUGCUGCCGUCACUGUCUUGCAGCAGCGACACCACGAAGAGCAACAGCGGAGUUUUCAGCGCAACGCGGUCAUGUGAUGCGGUGGCCCUCGUUUGCGUGGAUGGCCGGUCGGACAUGAAGAAUCUCGCAAAGUCACGAGAAGCCCAGCAGUGGCGGUGGCUGCGGCAGCUGCAGCUGUGCCGCGCCGAGUCAGCUGCCGUGUGCCAAGCACAGCGGCAUCGCUACUACGCCCUGUGCGAGGCCAUUGGCAGGAAAGCGGUGCACGUCAUCCAGGAGCUGGGUCACUACGCCAUCCAGUCCCGCCUUCGCACAUACUUUCACCUGUGGAAGGAUCAUCUAGCGCUGUUUCAUCACACGCACCUCAUGCGGCGGCAGCGCACAGCGCGACUGGAACGCGAGCGCGCGUUGGCGCGUCGCUUGGAGUGCGCUCGCAUGGCGCAGGUGCGUGGCGCGUACUAUGCGCGGUGGCAGCGCCUUCUUGCUGGUCGGAAGUGCCGUCGUCAGGAGGAGGCGCUGACUCGGUUUGCGCGGGCUGCGGCGACAGUGUCGCAUGGCCGUCGCACUAGCCGCGGCAGCUGCUGUCGUGGCCCCCUUCCCACCGCGGCGAUGAUGGGGCGUUUCCAUCGCUUGUCAGCUUUACGGGCGUGCUGGAGGACGUGGCAGGCGUGGGCAGACACCAAAAGACUGCAGCGGCAUCGCCACAAGGACCUGAAUGCCCUGCAGGAGUACCCGCCGCCCCUCUCACGCACCCGCUCUCUCACGUCAUUAGCGGCUUCUAUGGCGACAACACCUCGCUGUGUUGUAUCGGGACAUCGUGGCUGCGCCGACGGCGUUGCAGCGGAAGGUACGACGGCGCCAUUCCACUCGAUUCACAGCGGCGGCGUCUACGUGCGCGCCGCGUCACUGUCGUCGCCUCAGGGGAGCGCCUACAGGCCAACUGCAUCGGGCAGAGGUGCUGCGACUCCUCCGUCUGCUCGCACGCCGGGCCUGACCGAAGCUGUUCCGACCGCGCCCCCGCCGGCGCUGGAGGUUCUUCUCGCCGAGCUGCUACGUGCCCGCGUUUUCGUGUUCCACUUUAGCGAUGCGCGCAGCUCGGCAACCAGUGUGCUGGACGAGUCGUGGAGUGUUAUUCUGGAAAAUGCCGAGUCUGGCGCUGAGACCGACGACGAUGACGAUCGCCGCUUCAGCGUGUUUCGCUUUGCGCUUCUGCCGCUGCUGCAGGGACUCAUCUCCACGGCGGAAGAGGUGUUGCCGAACCUGUUCAACGAGUCUGUAGCGGAGGAAGUGCUGUCGAUGCUGGUCGGCAUCGUACUGGCAAUGGACUACGUGACAGCGAACGCUGAGGGCACGUGGUGGACGCUGCGUGAAGCGGCUGUGCUGACAGGGUGCUCGGCUUUCGUUGACGGCACCGAGCCGAUGCGCAGCGCCUUUGACGCGUCCCUUCUGGUGCUGCGAGCAUACGCGGUGCGCGCCUUCGCGUUAGACCCGGAGGCCGCUGAGGUGUUGCGCGGGCUGGCAAAAGGCAAGAAGGUGCUGGCGCAGUUUCUUGACUUCGCCAUGGAACGGGCGGUGGCGAGACGGAUGGAGCAUCUCUAGGCUGCACUUCCUCACCCGACUGAAGAGGCGUAAGAGAAAACGAAGCGCUUGUGCUUAUCUAUGGGGCGCUGCGCGUCUUCGCCCUCACCCUUUUUCCUACUUAUCGCACCGUGCAUCUGCCACUUGUAGCGCGCCGCGGUGAACCUCUUCGAUCUUGCACGCUUGCGCAAGCUGGCACGAGCACAUGUGCGAGCGCCUGCUUUUUUAUCUUGCGGCACGGUGGGACGACAUUGCCCCGCUGCAGAGGUCGACCGUGUAUGCUAAACGAUGCCUCCCCGAGCUGCCACGUCUUGAUAGGCGCUUCUUCUGCCUUGUUUCCUUUUUGCUUUUCUAGAGCGCCCCUUUUCUUUGAAGACGGGCGGACGUAUGCGCUAGAGCGUCGAGGUUUGAAUGUGUGUAGGGCGGGGGUGAGUGAGGGCAGCACUAUCUGUGUUGACGCGAAUGCCUCACGGAUCAACGACGUCUCCUCGGAGCGGUGUCUCGGCUUCCGCCACUCGUUCCGUUCAUGGGCUUUCUCUUCCCCCUUGUCUGCUUGUUGUAGUGAACUGCGUUGGUACCGACGUUUAGAUCCCCGCUUGCGAAAGUUGUCCGAAGAAAGAGGCGGAGGGCAUCGUUGAGAGCAAGAGGAACCUUUUUGUGCACGUGCGCGAUGCUGUGAUGAAGGUUUGCCGACAGGUGAGCAUGUGCU